GCCUGGGUGGCUCAGUGGGUUGAGCGUCUGACUUCGGCUCAGGUCACGAUGUUGCCGGUCAGGGUUCAAGCCCCGAGUCAGGCU
Molecule: transfer RNA, 84 nt
Filed under: Felis catus (domestic cat)
Lineage: Eukaryota; Metazoa; Chordata; Mammalia; Carnivora; Felidae
Rfam family: tRNA
About the family: Transfer RNA (tRNA) molecules are approximately 80 nucleotides in length. Their secondary structure includes four short double-helical elements and three loops (D, anti-codon, and T loops). Further hydrogen bonds mediate the characteristic L-shaped molecular structure. tRNAs have two regions of fundamental functional importance: the anti-codon, which is responsible for specific mRNA codon recognition, and the 3' end, to which the tRNAs corresponding amino acid is attached (by aminoacyl-tRNA synthetases). tRNAs cope with the degeneracy of the genetic code in two manners: having more than one tRNA (with a specific anti-codon) for a particular amino acid; and 'wobble' base-pairing, i.e. permitting non-standard base-pairing at the 3rd anti-codon position.
Source: Rfam by way of RNAcentral